AAAAACAGAAAAACUAUGCUCCAAGAUAAUCUAUUUCAGAAUUAACAAUAGAUACACGAUAAGAGCCUAUCUACAUGACUGUAGAUACCAAUAAUCCUAACAUUUUCUGCAAGGUCCGUGAUUUUUGUUUCUCUCUAACUCUUCUUCUUCAAAUCAUAAUAAACAAUCCAGCUUCCGUUGAACAUCGAGUUAGAGAUGAACACAAUCUCACCAUCAGGAGUACUACCAGAAAUGCAACCAAUGAAAUUCUUCAUCAAGCUAGAACAAAGUGUCUCAGAAAACGUGAUGGUGUGCUUCACCCAUUCUUCAUUUUCACAACUCUGUAAAAUCCUCAAAUAGAUCUCAUUCACAUUCCAUCUCGACUGACUGAUGACAGCUAAUUUUCCUUUAACUUGCAUCAAGUUACAAAAUAUUCCUCCAAGAACAUCUAUUACGUCGGCCCACAAUGAGAUAAUUCUAAAAUUCUCCGUCCUAACAUUAAAUGUCACUAUGCAUCUUUUAUCUUCAUGAAUACCUAGAAAAUAGAUAAAUCCUUCCAUGCAAAGUCCUCUGCUCAGUAACAGUAAUGACGAACAAGGUUCACUUUUAAUCUCUCUCCAUGAUUCAUUUGAGCCGAGAGUUAAAACCCAAUGUUUUGUGAGUGAGUUCGGAUCUAGGGGAUGACUACUCAUCAAUAUUUUAUACUUCUUUCCAUCCAACUCAAAACCAAAUGAAUAGGAAUAACAGGUAAAUCUAUGAUCAAUGGAAUCGAGGCAAGGAAGAUAUCUUACUAUUCUUGUAGUCGGAUUAUAAAUAACAGGGGGAUGCUCCAUUGCACUCCAUAGGGUGUCUGCCAAAUCGCGCCGGGUACAUUAUGGAGUAUUAAUUGAGUUGAACAUAUAUAACUUGUUUAUCCAAAAAAAGGAAAAAUGUAUGUACUCAUUUUUCUCGGUAAUCAGGAAUUGAAAAUCCAGUUAUUUCAGUCUCUGUUUACGUUGGUGGAAAAAGUAAAAAGAAGCUAAGUCUCUAAUAUUACGAUUAGAGUUCCAUUUUGCUAAAAGAAAACAAGAGACGAUGAUGUCUUCCAUGAGAAUUAAUACCUUAAAAAACAGAAAAACUAUGCUCCAAGAUAAUCUAUUUCAGAAUUAACAAUAGAUACACGAUAAGAGCCUAUCUACAUGACUGUAGAUACCAAUAAUCCUAACAUUUUCUGCAAGGUCCGUGAUUUUUGUUUCUCUCUAACUCUUCUUCUUCAAAUCAUAAUAAACAAUCCAGCUUCCGUUGAACAUCGAGUUAGAGAUGAACACAAUCUCACCAUCAGGAGUACUACCAGAA
RNAcentral lists this long non-coding RNA (1314 nucleotides) under Capsicum annuum. RNAcentral's name for it is "long non-coding RNA (CANN_LNC018187)". The record is from RNAcentral. Lineage: Eukaryota; Viridiplantae; Streptophyta; Magnoliopsida; Solanales; Solanaceae.